GCAACGGAUGCGUUGCUAUAGGGGGGUUUGUGUUGUAGUGUCUGUUCCUGAAGUCAUGGCUCCCUGGAUAUGUUCAGCUCGUCUACGCUUGGUCUUUGCCGGUAGCCAAGCUGCUCCAUAUGCUCGAGCUUCCAGCGCCCUGCAUCAGCUCGCCGGUAGCCAAGCUCUAUGGCACAAGCGCCUCUAAGCCCUGCUCCUUCUCCAACCGUGCCAAUGCUCGCCAGCUCCCUUAGCCCACCGGCCCUGCCCCUCUCAGCUCUGUUGUCGUCAACUCCGGCUGUGCGCCGUCGGCCAUGCCUCCCCAUGCCGACGUUGCUCCCCAUGUGCUCGCCCAGGCCACGACGUCGUCCAUGCCGUUCGGUGCGCUCUAGGUGUUCGACGAAAUAGAACCAAGGAACUGUCGCCGUUCUUGCAUAUAUCGAGUCGAUUCGAUUAUGGUACGCUAAUGAUCGUGCGAGAUGAAGGGCAUGGACCGACGAUAUCUCAGUGACUAUGUCGACAGAAGAUGAAUGGAUUGACCGUACCAGGAUUUUCGAUGUUCGCCAACCAGAUGUCUCUAACAACACUAACGUAGUGUUUAUCCUAGGCAAGCCCCGGUGCAUUCACCUCUUUCCUUGAUGUUUACAAAAAUUUAUCACCUUGAAUGAUGCAUUAGGUUAUAGGAGUUGUGUGAUCAAACAGUUGAUGCAUUUCCUUCCUUGAUUAAACAACCCUAAUACCUGUUUUAUGAAAAUUUAGUGAUGCUUAGCCCUGCUUAUUAAUUUAGGAUGGUUUUUGAAAGAUGAUGUGUAACACGGGAUAUGGGAGUUUGUGAAAUAAAAGGACUUGUGAUGAUGAACCCAUUGUGGCCGCAAUGAUUUCAUAAUUCAAGUAGGGUGCCUCUCUCAGGUAUCAAGUUUUGGGAAAUAAUAUGUAAUGUAGACCAGACGUUGAGCAGGAAAGUUCGCCCUUCUGCGUCGAUUAAGGACCGUUCGAUGUAGGCCUGUUGUGGUGGAGACUUUGCAACUUGCCACAUGCUUCGGUAAGCCUGAACUCGGCUAUUCCAUACGUGAAAAGACAACCGCGCACUGGGCGUGGGAGAUGGUGGGAGUAGCGUGUACCUCCUGGCUAGAGGCUGGACGGAGGAGUACUGUGCUCCCGGUAGCGCGGACCGGUUCACGUUGUGGAGGAUCUGUGGGAACGGUUGACAUAUGCAAGGGUUAAGUGCUACAUAUGUCAUGUGGUUAGGGAUCCCCAGCUGGGUAUAAUUGAUUCGAAUCGUCGUUGCUCCUCAGUCAUGGAGACUCUACCCUCCGACCACUCAUCGUAGUUAAUAAGUAAAAUAAGAAUUUGGUAAAAGAAAGCUAGACCAGAACAAGUGAAUGCUCUAGAUUAGGCAAAACUAGAUUCAGGAAAAGUACUUAACUUGUGAAGUAAAAUUUUUGCAUAAGGAUCCACUACUAGUAAGCCUUUCUGCAAAAAGAGUCUUUGAAUCUUCAUAAGCUUUACCUUGAUUCCCAAAAGCCAGCAUAUCCUUGAGAGUCUUUUUCCUUAAACGGGUAAGACUUGCGAAAGUACACUCCGUACUCAGUGUUUUCGAACCCAUGUUGUUGCAGGUACUAGAUUUGUGCUGCUGUUGAUGGUGCUUAGUGCCAGUGGGCUCGACCUUCUUAUAGGUUAAAGUAGCUCUUCUAUACUUCUUAUUAAGGAUUGUCAUUGAGCUAGCAUAUAUUUCAAAAUUAUAAAUAAUUUAUAACAUUUCAAAGUAUAUUUCUUUGAAUCAAUUUUGUAAUCACUCCGAUAAAUAUAAUGUAAAUUUGUUGUAACUUGUAACUUUUUGUAAUAAAGAAAUUCUGCUACAAA
Molecule: long non-coding RNA, 1842 nt
Organism: Zea mays
Lineage: Eukaryota; Viridiplantae; Streptophyta; Magnoliopsida; Poales; Poaceae
Exons: 3
Source: RefSeq, a predicted model, not a curated record